GGGGAUUGGGUAUACCUUAAACUGCACCAUUUGCUCAACAUAUAGCCGAUAAACAUAGAAGUGAACUAGAAUUUCAGCUAGGGGAUUGGGUAUACCUUAAACUGCACCAUUUGCUCAACACUCCAUGGCCAGGAGGGUUAAUAGGAAAUUGGCUGCGAAAUACUAUGGACCUUACCAAGUAAUUCAAAAAUUGGAAAAGUCGUAAAUAAACUAAAACUAUCUGCUGGAGCUUACAUUCAUCCUGUUUUUCAUGUUUUACUACUGAAGAAGAAAAUUGGCGAGAAGGAAAUGCCUAUCUUUGACAUACCAGAACAAUGGAAGAGUGAUGUACCUCAAUCUUCUGAACCUUGGGGACAAGGUUGGUCGAAGGGGAAGGGAUGUUAUGAAGGAGAAGAAGGGAAUCAAUGGAAGUGGCAUUAGAAGGAAAAAAAAGGAGCAGACACAGGACAUAGAGAGAGGAAGACGAGGGCUAAUGGUCAUAUCCAAUAUUCAAAUUCAGAUAUUUGAAAUAACGUCGUUUCGAUGGAAAUUAAAUGAUGUCAUUUUGUUUUAGAAAUAACCGAUGUCAUUUCAGUUAUAAUCAAAUUGUAUGAGUUAAACGCCUUUUCUUCUCAGCAUUCGCAUUUUCUUCCUGGUUAGUCUGUUAUAACUAUUGUAAUUAGGGAAACAUGGGAGAAUUUGUAAUGUGAAUUAGAUUCUUCUUCCCCAAGUCUUUCUUCUAUCUCUUCCCCUUUCUCUAUCAAUUCUCCUGUAG
RNAcentral lists this long non-coding RNA (754 nucleotides) under Olea europaea subsp. europaea. The record is from RNAcentral. Lineage: Eukaryota; Viridiplantae; Streptophyta; Magnoliopsida; Lamiales; Oleaceae.